GGCCUACCAUGGUGGUAACGGGUGACGGAGGAUUAGGGUUCGAUUCCGGAGAGGGAGCCUGAGAAACGGCUACCACAUCCAAGGAAGGCAGCAGGCGCGCAAAUUACCCACUUCCAGAACGGAGAGGUAGUGACGAAAAAUAACGAGACAGUCCUCUUCGAGGUCUGUCAUCGGAAUGGGUACAAUUUAAAUCCUUUAACGAGGAUCUAUUGGAGGGCAAGUCUGGUGCCAGCAGCCGCGGUAAUUCCAGCUCCAAUAGCGUAUAUUAAAGUUGUUGCGGUUAAAAAGCUCGUAGUUGAAUUUCGGGAUCAAUGUUUCGGUCAUGCCGUUGGUAUGUACUGAUAUUAUUGGUUUCUCACCUUCUAAAGAACCGUAAUGCCAUUAAUUUGGUGUCACGGGGAAUUAGGACUGUUACCUUGAAAAAAUUAGAGUGUUUAAAGCAGGCUCACGCUUGAAUACAUUAGCAUGGAAUAAUGAAAUAGGACAUCCGAUUCUAUUUUGUUGGUUUCUAGGAUCGAUGUAAUGAUUAAUAGGGAUAGUUGGGGGCAUUAGUAUUCAAUUGUCAGAGGUGAAAUUCUUGGAUUUAUUGAAGACUAACUACUGCGAAAGCAUUUGCCAAGGAUGUUUUCAUUAAUCAAGAACGAAAGUUAGGGGAUCGAAGACGAUCAGAUACCGUCGUAGUCUUAACCAUAAACUAUGCCGACUAGGGAUCGGAUGAUGUUAAUUUUUUAAUGACUCAUUCGGCGCCUUACG
RNAcentral lists this ribosomal RNA (753 nucleotides) under uncultured Glomeromycotina. RNAcentral describes it as "SSU rRNA". It matches the Rfam family "Eukaryotic small subunit ribosomal RNA", at positions 338 to 1092 of the family's 1831-position model. The record is from RNAcentral. Lineage: Eukaryota; Fungi; Glomeromycota.